UCUGGUGGUUAUAGCGGAGUGUCCAAACCCGAUCCCAUCCCGAACUCGGCCGUUAAACGCUCCAGCGCCGAUGGUACUUCGUCUUAAGACGCGGAAGAGUAGGUCGCUGCCAGGC
This 115-nucleotide ribosomal RNA is filed under the name Hyphomicrobiales bacterium. The record is from RNAcentral. Lineage: Bacteria; Pseudomonadati; Pseudomonadota; Alphaproteobacteria; Hyphomicrobiales.